Molecule: ribosomal RNA, 507 nt
Filed under: uncultured Propionibacterium sp.
Lineage: Bacteria; Bacillati; Actinomycetota; Actinomycetes; Propionibacteriales; Propionibacteriaceae
Description: bacterial SSU rRNA
Rfam family: Bacterial small subunit ribosomal RNA
Source: RNAcentral
AGAGUUUGAUCCUGGCUCAGGACGAACGCUGGCGGCGUGCUUAACACAUGCAAGUCGAACGGAAAGGCCCUGCUUUUGUGGGGUGCUCGAGUGGCGAACGGGUGAGUAACACGUGAGUAACCUGCCCUUGACUUUGGGAUAACUUCAGGAAACUGGGGCUAAUACCGGAUAGGAGCUCCUGCUGCAUGGUGGGGGUUGGAAAGUUUCGGCGGUUGGGGAUGGACUCGCGGCUUAUCAGCUUGUUGGUGGGGUAGUGGCUUACCAAGGCUUUGACGGGUAGCCGGCCUGAGAGGGUGACCGGCCACAUUGGGACUGAGAUACGGCCCAGACUCCUACGGGAGGCAGCAGUGGGGAAUAUUGCACAAUGGGCGGAAGCCUGAUGCAGCAACGCCGCGUGCGGGAKGACGGCCUUCGGGUUGUAAACCGCUUUCGCCUGUGACGAAGCGUGAGUGACGGUAAUGGGUAAAGAAGCACCGGCUAACUACGUGCCAGCAGCCGCGGUAAUAC